UCGGGAAUUUUGGGCAAUGGGCGCAAGCCUGACCCAGCAACGCCGCGUGAAGGAUGAAAUCCCUCGGGAUGUAAACUUCACAAGAUCGGGAAGAAUAAGGCCUGGUAAAUAACCAGCGCCGAUGACGGUACUGAUUGUAAGCUCCGGCUAACUCCGUGCCAGCAGCCGCGGUAAUACGGGGGGAGCAAGCGUUGUUCGGAUUUACUGGGCGUAAAGGGCGCGUAGGCGGCGCGACAAGUCACUUGUGAAAUCUCCGGGCUUAACUCGGUAGAGGCCAAGUGAUACUGUCGUGCUUGAGUGCGGAAGGGGCAACCGGAAUUCUUGGUGUAGCGGUGAAAUGCGUAGAUAUCAAGAGGAACACCUGCGGCGAAGGCGGGUUGCUGGGCCGACACUGACGCUGAGGCGCGAAAGCUAGGGGAGCGAACGGG
RNAcentral lists this ribosomal RNA (428 nucleotides) under Bacillota bacterium. RNAcentral describes it as "Firmicutes bacterium partial 16S ribosomal RNA". It matches the Rfam family "Bacterial small subunit ribosomal RNA", at positions 355 to 776 of the family's 1533-position model. Lineage: Bacteria; Bacillati; Bacillota. The record is from RNAcentral.